RNAcentral lists this ribosomal RNA (323 nucleotides) under uncultured bacterium. RNAcentral's name for it is "bacterial SSU rRNA". It matches the Rfam family "Bacterial small subunit ribosomal RNA", at positions 973 to 1288 of the family's 1533-position model. The record is from RNAcentral.
ACCUAGGCUUGACAUGUGGUGAGUAGCGUACCGAAAGGGGAGCGACCCGUCGAAAUCGGGCCAUCACACAGGUGCUGCAUGGCUGUCGUCAGCUCGUGCCGUGAGGUGUUGGGUUCAGUCCCGCAACGAGCGCAACCCUCGCCCUUUGUUGCCAUCGGGUAAAGCCGGGCACUCUAAGGGGACUGCCAGCGACAAGUUGGAGGAAGGAGAGGAUGACGUCAAGUCAUCAUGGCCUUUAUGCCUAGGGCCACACACGUGCAACAAUGGCCGGUACAGACGGAGGCAAUGCCGAGAGGCGGAGCAAACCCGAGAAAAACCGGUCC